Molecule: ribosomal RNA, 253 nt
Filed under: uncultured bacterium
Lineage: Bacteria
Description: partial 16S ribosomal RNA
Rfam family: Bacterial small subunit ribosomal RNA
Source: RNAcentral
UACGAAGGGGGCUAGCGUUGUUCGGAAUUACUGGGCGUAAAGCGCACGUAGGCGGACUAUUAAGUCAGGGGUGAAAUCCCGAGGCUCAGCCUCGGAACUGCCUUUGAUACUGGGGAUCUCGAGUCCGGGAGAGGUGAGUGGAACUGCGAGUGUAGAGGUGAAAUUCGUAGAUAUUCGCAAGAACACCAGUGGCGAAGGCGGCUCACUGGCCCGGAACUGACGCUGAGGUGCGAAAGCGUGGGGAGCAAACAGG